CCUACGGGUGGCUGCAGUAAGGAAUAUUGGUCAAUGGAGGCAACUCUGAACCAGCCAUCCCGCGUGAAGGAUGAAGGGGCUCUGCCUUGUAAACUUCUUUUGUCUGGGGCGAAAAAGCUCGAUUUAUCGAGAACUGACGGUACCAGAAGAAUAAGCACCGGCUAACCCCGUGCCAGCAGCCGCGGUAAUACGGAGGGUGCAGGCGUUAUCCGGAUUAACUGGGUUUAAGGGGGCUGUAGAAGUCAGUGGUGAAAUGCUGUGGCUUAACCAUGGAAUUGCCAUUGAUACUGCAGAGCUUGAAUGAGGUUGAGGUUGGCGGAAUGUGACAUGUAGCGGUGAAAUGCUUAGAUAUGUCAUGGAACACCGAUUGCGAAGGCAGCUGACUGGACCUAUAUUGACGCUGAGGCACGAAAGCGUGGGGAGCGAACAGGAUUAGAUACCCCUGUAGUC
This 450-nucleotide ribosomal RNA is filed under the name uncultured bacterium. Its description in RNAcentral is "partial 16S ribosomal RNA". It matches the Rfam family "Bacterial small subunit ribosomal RNA", at positions 338 to 795 of the family's 1533-position model. The record is from RNAcentral.